ACAAAUUCCGACCAGAGGCGUCCUGUUCUGGUCUUCUAUUUAUUUUUCCCAAUCGAGUGUACUUAGUCAUCGAAGCCAACACCAAACAGCGCCUGCAAUAGGGAAAACAAAGAAAAAAACCGAACAUCAAAGAUGAACACAGACAUAACAGCUUCGGCCAAACCAGAGUACCCAGUUAUAGAUCGAAACCCUCCUUUCACCAAAGUCGUUGGCAAUUUCAACACCCU
RNAcentral lists this long non-coding RNA (227 nucleotides) under Gossypium raimondii (Peruvian cotton). RNAcentral describes it as "long non-coding RNA (GRAI_LNC008761)". The record is from RNAcentral. Lineage: Eukaryota; Viridiplantae; Streptophyta; Magnoliopsida; Malvales; Malvaceae.